RNAcentral lists this ribosomal RNA (253 nucleotides) under uncultured bacterium. RNAcentral's name for it is "partial 16S ribosomal RNA". It matches the Rfam family "Bacterial small subunit ribosomal RNA", at positions 524 to 776 of the family's 1533-position model. The record is from RNAcentral.
UACGUAGGGUGCAAGCGUUGUCCGGAAUUAUUGGGCGUAAAGAGCUCGUAGGCGGUUCGUCGCGUCGGCUGUGAAAACCCGGAGCUCAACUCCGGGCCUGCAGUCGAUACGGGCGGACUUGAGUGUUGCAGGGGAGACUGGAAUUCCUGGUGUAGCGGUGAAAUGCGCAGAUAUCAGGAGGAACACCGGUGGCGAAGGCGGGUCUCUGGGCAACUACUGACGCUGAGGAGCGAAAGCUAGGGGAGCAAACGGG